UACAGGGGGCGCGAGCGUUGCUCGGAAUUACUGGGCGUAAAGCGUACGCAGGCGGACUGCAAAGUCGGAUGUGAAAUCCCGAGGCUCAACCUCGGAACUGCAUUCGAUACUGGCAGUCUAGAGUACGAGAGAGGUGGGUGGAAUUCCUGGUGUAGAGGUGAAAUUCGUAGAUAUCAGGAGGAACACCGGUGGCGAAAGCGGCCCACUGGCUCGAUACUGACGCUCAUGUACGAAAGCGUGGGGAGCAAACAGG
RNAcentral lists this ribosomal RNA (253 nucleotides) under uncultured bacterium. RNAcentral describes it as "partial 16S ribosomal RNA". It matches the Rfam family "Bacterial small subunit ribosomal RNA", at positions 524 to 776 of the family's 1533-position model. The record is from RNAcentral.